UCAGCUGUACAUCAUGGCCUGGGAAGAAGGCAGUGAAAAAGGACCAGUGAAAGCUACCAAUGGAGGCAAGCCAUUAAUUAAUAUGGAGGAAUGUUUCCAGUUCAUUGGAACCCUAGAUGUGUUGUGUCUUUGGGUUACAUCUUUAACUCCUUCUCUGUGUCUCAAACCUGUAACUGCACUACAAAAAGACUGAUCCAUAAAGAGAACUAAGUAUGCUGCUGAGCAGAGGCAGCACUGACGGUCUCAACAUGGAACCUGUCUUAUCUUCUCAGAAGGAUCUUGGAAACCGGAAAGUAAAAUAGGAAACAUAGCGUUCUGAUAAAAAAACAGUAGGCAUCUUGUGCUGAGCAAGUCUGACGAAAGAAGCCUACUCAGCAACAGUUAGCUGCUAGUUUGGUGCACGCUACUGAUUGUAUUUCUAAAUCAAUUAUGCAACAAACAUGAUGGAAUGUAUGCAAGUUCUCUCUUCACUACUGUAUUUCUUUGUCAUGUAGAAGGUAUAUGGUGGCAGCAUAUUAUGUAUGAUCAUCUGUACAUCAGGCCUGAUGUUUUUUGCUCAAUAGACUUGUCAUGAAGAACUCUCCAUGGACCCAUCAGUGUAAAAAAGAAACUUGGAGUCAGCUGUGUCUACUUCAAGCUGAGCUGGUUAAGACUGGAUUGGACCACUGGCCUUUCAACUGGGUAUGCUCGGUAACAUUUUGUACGUGCAGAGCCUUGCUUGCAUUGGACAAAACCAGCCUGAAAUCCUCUUUCUUCCCAUAGAAGCUCUGAGGCUGGGAAGGAAGACAUGAGAGUUCUUUGGAAAUGUUUAAAGUCACCAGCCAAAGUUGGAGCAUGCAGGCUUCAUUUGUAUGAGAGACAAAAAGAAGUUUGUACAAAUCACAUCCUUGCUAUAUCUGAUUAUAUUAAAUUCAUUGAGCAGAGGAAGCAGUAAUGACCAAAACAGAAUAAGGAUGGAAACAAAGAAGAAUUCUUCAUUAUUUUCUUCUUCUCCCUCAAAUGAGUGAAGACUUGCCUCUGCUGCAGGACACUGCAGAUUUUGCUGGAACAUCUGUGAAGAGAAGAUGGAUACUGAACUGCUGAAAGUUGAAGGACCAGGCACUGCUGUAAAGUUUUUGGGAGUCAUGUAGCCUUAGACUUCCUCUGCUCCUGUGGUAGAUAUUAUCCUGAUGAUAAUAACCUUUCUACAGUGGACUUACUCAUAGUAACCCUGUAAAAGGAAUCAAUCCAGCUGUUGGAUAUGUGGGCAGCUGCCUGUCUAGCUCAUCAGGAUUGCCAUGGUAGGUAUCACCACUCUAGGAAGGGGAUUAGAAGUACUAAAGUAGUAAAUUAUGGAAGAAUAAGCUAGGACUAGUACUCUUAAUUCAUCUGAUGUUACCAAUACUGAUCCAGAAGGCUGGCCUGUCACAUGCUAUAUCAGUAAUGCUAGGCAUGGGUAUCCUUUUUCUGUCAAUCAAACUACACAGGCAGCCCAUCAAACUGCUGACCAAAAGGUCCUGAAAAUACCCCAUCGGAGCCAUGGGCGGCUACACUCAGAUUUGGGCUAGAUUCAUGUGUCUUACCCUGGAUUAUGGACAUUAGAACACUGGGCACCCUAUGUUGGGAACACAAAAAUUACUCUAAACUGAACCAAUGCAAUUGUACCAGGGAUCUGAGAUGGACAUCACCAGAACUGUGUAGUCCUUCUCUCACAUUAAAGGAUAGUGACUGGUUUGGCACUGACUGGUUGCAGUGCCCACGUAUUUAGGUGGUAGUCCCAAAUGGGACCCAUUGGUUGUGUGGCACAAAUCUUUGGGCUGCUGCACCCUGGGUUUUCCCUGGGCACCAGCACUUGCCCCAUAGUAACAAAAGUUGCUAACUGCCAUCUCCUCAAGGCCAGCUGGGCAUUUCUUUUUUCUGGUGGAGUGAUGAUUUGGCCACAUCUUUGUAUCUCCAUUGGCCUAAAAGACAUUAAUAGCACUCAUACAAGCCCUCCUAAUUCACCUAGCAAGCCAUACAUGAUAGCUGGCAAAGCCUGUUCUUACUGAACACUGAAAUGUCUCUAAUGAGAAAAUUUGUCCUCCAAAAUAGGAUGGACUUGGACAUUAUUACUGUCUCCCAAGGGGGCACGUGUGCCAUUAUCCAAACAGAGUGUUGUGUGUUCAUACUUGAUAAGUCUACUAUUGUAUUAUCUGUAUUAAAUCACCUAAGAACACAAGUGAAAGGCCCGAGAGAACUGAGCCCUAGCCUCAGGGACUUAAUAAAUCAGUGGUUCAGAUCAUGGGGUGGAAAAAAUUAUUACUUAUUUGGGAAUUAUUAUCUUAAUCUGGGCUUUCUGUUGCAUGUGCCUGUAUUGUUGCUGUG
Non-coding RNA from Vicugna pacos (alpaca), 2343 nucleotides. The record is from RefSeq and is a predicted model, not a curated record. Lineage: Eukaryota; Metazoa; Chordata; Mammalia; Artiodactyla; Camelidae.